This 513-nucleotide ribosomal RNA is filed under the name uncultured bacterium. RNAcentral's name for it is "partial 16S ribosomal RNA". It matches the Rfam family "Bacterial small subunit ribosomal RNA", at positions 28 to 507 of the family's 1533-position model. The record is from RNAcentral.
GACGAACGCUGGCGGCGUGCUUAACACAUGCAAGUCGAACGAAAAGAGGGAAAGAGCUUGCUCUUUCCGGAAUUGAGUGGCAAACGGGUGAGUAACACGUAAACAACCUGCCUUCAGGAUGGGGACAACAGACGGAAACGACUGCUACAACCGAAUAAGUUCCAAGGGCCGCAUGGCCCAUGGAAGAAAAGGUGGCCUCUACCUGUAAGCUAACGCAUGCAGAGGGGUUUGCGUCUGAUUAGCAGGUUGGAGGGGUAACGGACCACCAAGUAGACGAGCAGAAGCCGGACUGAGAGGAUGAUCAGCCACAGUGGAACGGGGACGCGCACCAGCCUUCGACGGGAGGCAGCGGGGGGGAACCUUCCGCAAGGGGCGAAAGCCUGACGGCGCAAAGCCGCGAGAGCGUGGACGGCCUUCGCGUUGUAAAACUCUGUGAUCCGGGACGAAAAGGCAGAUUGCGAAGAACAAGCUGCAUUGACGGUACCGGAAAAGCAAGCCACGGCUAACUACGUG